Non-coding RNA from Pseudohongiella acticola, 179 nucleotides. It matches the Rfam family "6S / SsrS RNA". From Rfam's summary of the family: E. coli 6S RNA was the first non coding RNA to be sequenced, but its function was unknown until recently. The record is from Rfam. Lineage: Bacteria; Pseudomonadati; Pseudomonadota; Gammaproteobacteria; Pseudomonadales; Pseudohongiellaceae.
AGUCACCUGGAGUACAGGCCAGCUGAAAAUGUUCUUGAGCCGAUAUCUGUUACUCCGGAGGCUCUUCGCAAUGAUGUUGUUGAGCAUGUCCGCACGACGGAAAGCCUGAUACAUCGCUGGAGCCACCACCUGAACCUGUGGGUUCAGGACUAUUUCGGCAGCGGUACUCUGGGUGGCUU